AGGCGCGUAGCUCAGCUGGUUAGAGCGCUACCUUGACACGGUAGAGGUCGGCGGUUCGAGUCCGCCCGCGCCUACCA
Molecule: transfer RNA, 77 nt
Filed under: Acidobacteria bacterium RIFCSPHIGHO2_01_FULL_67_28
Lineage: Bacteria; Pseudomonadati; Acidobacteriota
Also listed under: 2 other names
Description: tRNA-Val
Rfam family: tRNA
About the family: Transfer RNA (tRNA) molecules are approximately 80 nucleotides in length. Their secondary structure includes four short double-helical elements and three loops (D, anti-codon, and T loops).
Source: RNAcentral